AGACUUGUUCUGUUGGCUGCCAGGGCAAAACACAGUGUCCAAAAGAGGACAAGAGUAAACCCACCGGCCGGACAGGGGCUGUAAAGCCAGCCAGGCCUGGGGUCAACAUUCCCUCUACUACCUGCCCCCAAUCCCCCAAUUACAUAGCUAUAUGAUCCUGGGCAAAUUUCUUAGAACACUAAGAAUCUGUUUAGUUUUUUAUAAAUUGAGAAGAAACACCUACAGCACUGGACUGCUCUAAGGCUUAACUGUGACAUACAAAGCACCUUGAAUGGUGCCUGGACACUAGAGCAGACUGCUACUGGGUGUGAAUUAUGCUAAUGUCUCUGGACACCACUGGCAGCUGUCCAACACGGUCACAAGGCAGCCUGUCAAGAACAUGGACACUGGAAAGAGCAUCUGGAUGUAAACCUAGGCCCUGACCUUUCUCUAGUGUUGUGCUGGACAAGCAACUUGACCUUGAUGGACACUGACGUUCUUGUCUAUUUAGUCCACAUUCCUGGCAGCUGAUUCACCCAGAGCACCUCUUACAGGCUGCAGUGAAGUAACAUCUAUUGUACUGUAACCAUCUCUUCCAUUAGACUGGGCACUCACGGUGGAAUGAAAUCAAGUCUCUGGGUUCCCCACAGUAUACCACAUGCACACCUAGGUGGUCGAUAAGAGGGUGAAAUAAAUCAAGAUAAAAGUCAUGCGCUGGAGAGGUGUAAAAAGAGAAAGAACACAGAAAGUAGUAGUAGGGUAUGCAGAAUAUGCAAGUUAAAGACAACUAGGUCAGGAUCCAGAAUUUAGAAGUCACUAAGGAGGGUUCCUAGCCCUACAGAUACCAGCAAAGGCCACAUUUGAGGUGAAUAUGAGCAGACUACAAGUUCUACUUAGGAAGCACCCCUCGAGAGUUUAUACUAUAAAAAGCCUUACCCAACGCAACCCCAAUUAACCAAAGCUCUCAAUUAAGGAAGGGCUGCUUCUGUCUCCUGGGGCUGGUACCUAAAAUCCCCAAUGCACAUAAAAAGUAGUCGGUCAGGAGCAAGAAGUCUGUGUGGUUGCCCCAAGUCAUUCAAGAGUAGAGCAGAGAGCAGGUGGGGUCCCUGGCAGCUGAGACACACAGAAGGAACCAACAGAAAUCAGCAGUGCCACAAGCACUGAUCAAUAUACAACUAAAAACAAAGAGGAGCCAUUAGUUUCUUUCUUUUUUUUUGGAGACAGUCUUGCUCUGUCGCCCAGGCUGGAGUGCACUGAUGCGAUCUCAGCUCACUGCAGCCUCUGCCUCCCGGGUUCAAGUGAUUCUCCUGCUUCAGCCUCUUGAGUAGCUGGGAUUACAGGCGCCCGCCACCACGCCCAGCUGAUUUUUUGUAUUUUUAGUAGAGACAGGGUUUCACCACUUUGGCCAGGCUGGUCUCCACCUCCUGACCUGAGGUGAUCCGUCCACCUCGGCCUCCCAAAGUGUUGGGAUUACAGGUGUGAGCCACCGCACACGGCCUGAGCCAUUAGUUUCUGAGUAAAAUAUGAUUAUGCCCAUUUUACAACCAAGAAAAACAGAAGAACCUAGAACUUAAGCUACCUGUCCCAGCAGUACCCCACAGCAGUUAAGAAAGCAUACUCAAGUUUGAAUGUCUGGCCUUGAAUCCUGACUUGGUUACUUGCUUAGCUGUUUUACAUUGGGCAAUUUCACUAACCUUGGUACCUCAGUUGCCUCACCUAUAAAAUGAAGAUAAUCACGGUACUGACUUCACCUGAUACAUAGCAACCUGCAAGUUUCAGCUCUUAUUUACAGGGUGAAACUGGGAUUAAAACCUUCUGACUCUGA
Long non-coding RNA from Homo sapiens (human), 1804 nucleotides. The record is from Ensembl. Lineage: Eukaryota; Metazoa; Chordata; Mammalia; Primates; Hominidae.